Molecule: long non-coding RNA, 904 nt
Filed under: Piliocolobus tephrosceles (Ugandan red Colobus)
Lineage: Eukaryota; Metazoa; Chordata; Mammalia; Primates; Cercopithecidae
Description: lncRNA (ENSPTEG00000017765.1)
Source: RNAcentral
AUAUUAUAUUAUAUAUAUAUAUUUUAAUCCACAUAAACUUUUGAAGUUAUGUAUGACUAAUGUAUGAACAUUUACCUUAUCCAUACUUUAUAAUAUUUAUUUUAUAUUUUUGUUACAAUAUAUGCUCUAUUUUUUUUAUACGCUUACAUAUUAAAAUAGACAUAUAUUAAUUUUAACUGCCACAAAACAGUUCCUUUGAGUUAUAAUUCGAAUAAGCUUCAAUAUAUAUAUAUAUAUAUAUUACCAUAUUUUUAUUAUACUAAUACUUUUUUUUUAAAAAUGGAACAUCCAAGCUAUAUUCCAGGUUAUAAAAAUAUAAAUGUUGCAACAUUGUACAGACCAUUAGAUAACUAUGAAUAUGUUAAUGCCACACGAGUUAAACAAUUUUCCUAUAAUCCAAACUUUAGGCAAGAACCACUCAUGGGUCCAUAUAUCAAAGAAUACUAUGAGAAUAGUGUAAACUAUCAAAUUAAUAAAGAUAUGAAACCAUUAAUUUUUCAUCCCCUUAUGUUACCAUAUAAAGAUAUGCAUAGACAAUGUAACCCAUUAGUCGCAUAUCCUUAUGGAAUACCACGAGAUGCAAAGGUACAUGAUAAAUGCUCAAAAUGUAAAGGAAAAAAAAAAAAAAAAAAAAAAAAAAAAAAAAAAAAAAAAAAAAAAAAAAAAAAAAAAAAAAAAAAAAAAAAAAAAAAAAUUGUCAAAAAGAAGUAUUAUAACUGUAAGUAUAAUUACUUUUCAGUUUGUAAAAUAUUAUAUAUAAAAUAGUAUGUAAAAUAGUACAUAAAAUGGUAUAUAAAAUGGUAUAUAAAAUGGUUUAUAAAAUGGUAUAUAAAAUGUUAUAUAAAAUAGUAUAUAAAAUAGUAUAUAAAAUGGUAUAUAAAAUGGUAUAUAAAAUGAUAUAUAA